This 77-nucleotide transfer RNA is filed under the name Quinella sp. 1Q5. RNAcentral's name for it is "tRNA-Pro". It matches the Rfam family "tRNA". From Rfam's summary of the family: Transfer RNA (tRNA) molecules are approximately 80 nucleotides in length. Lineage: Bacteria; Bacillati; Bacillota; Negativicutes; Veillonellales; Veillonellaceae. The record is from RNAcentral.
CGGGGCAUAGCGCAGCCCGGUAGCGCACCUCGCUUGGGACGAGGGGGUCGCAGGUUCAAAUCCUGUUGCUCCGACCA